CCUCGUGUCCUCGGACGAGGAUGUUGUACAUCUACAAUCCCAAACCUUCUAGAAACAGCUGAAACGUCCACUUCUCCAACCGAUUCCCAUCGUGCCAACGGGGUCAGUACUGAGAGAAAAGCGAGACUGCUUCAUGGGUGUUAUGUGCCAAACUGUUCCUUGGCUCCGAGUAGUUGCCAAGCAACGAGCAGAUACUCCAAGAAGUUACUAAUCUUCACGGUGUUGGCAGAAGUGCCAUUCACCAGGAUGGAAACGCGGCCGCCAACAAAGCGCCGGCUUCAACGGCACGACAAUCAUAUUAACAUGUAUUAAAUCAGAUGCGAAUGCCGCUGAUUCCGCGUGGAAGUGUUUAAACAUUGUGUCAUUCGUUAUAAAUAUUAAUGAUGCUGGUAAUUGAUUGUCAAACCUGAUUUGAACCAGCUGUAUCAGACUCCAACCACGACCAAACCCCUGAAACCACCAGGUUCAGGUUGGUCCCUGAGUUUCCUCGUUUAGCAUCACGUUUAGAGCCGCAGCUAAUGAUUAUUUUCGUGACCAAUUACAGUCUGUUGGAAUCUGACUGCAUUUAAAUUUACACGCACUUUAACAUUAAAGUGAAUGGCAAUACAUUGUCUUCAUGGCAAUUUUCCUACAUUGGCUUCCUAUCCAAACGUCUGCAGCAGGUCCUAUAGGCCUGUGACUAUGGUUUAGGCUCCAUAGGUAAUUACCAUCCUGUCAAUGUCACACUGGCUGGAGCCAAUGAGAUAGGAAAAGUCAUUACAAAAGGCUCAAAUGACGUCAUUUGUUGCACAGGACAUUUAAAACGCUUUGUGUUAUGCUGAGUGAAAUA
Long non-coding RNA from Betta splendens (Siamese fighting fish), 829 nucleotides. RefSeq lists it as uncharacterized. NCBI's taxonomy places the organism in Eukaryota, Metazoa, Chordata, Actinopteri, Anabantiformes, Osphronemidae. The transcript is spliced from 3 exons. The record is from RefSeq and is a predicted model, not a curated record.